RNAcentral lists this ribosomal RNA (400 nucleotides) under uncultured bacterium. Its description in RNAcentral is "bacterial SSU rRNA". It matches the Rfam family "Bacterial small subunit ribosomal RNA", at positions 356 to 773 of the family's 1533-position model. The record is from RNAcentral.
GGGGAAUAUUGGACAAUGGGCGCAAGCCUGAUCCAGCCAUGCCGCGUGAGUGAUGAAGGCCUUAGGGUUGUAAAGCUCUUUUGUCCGGGAAGAUAAUGACUGUACCGGAAGAAUAAGCCCCGGCUAACUUCGUGCCAGCAGCCGCGGUAAUACGAAGGGGGCUAGCGUUGCUCGGAAUCACUGGGCGUAAAGGGCGCGUAGGCGGACUCUUAAGUCGGGGGUGAAAGCCCAGGGCUCAACCCUGGAAUAGCCUUCGAUACUGAGAGUCUUGAGUUCGGAAGAGGUUGGUGGAAUUGCGAGUGUAGAGGUGAAAUUCGUAGAUAUUCGCAAGAACACCAGUGGCGAAGGCGGCCAACUGGUCCGAUACUGACGCUGAGGCGCGAAAGCGUGGGGAGCAAAC